GGGGCAUGAUGAGGAUAAUCCUGUAUUUGUCCGAUUAAUUUCGUGAUUGGAAUUACAAACCUCCUACUCAUUCUGA
This is a small nucleolar RNA of Prunus persica (peach), 76 nucleotides long. It matches the Rfam family "Small nucleolar RNA Z105". Rfam says of the family: This family consists of several snoRNA Z105 sequences which are members of the C/D class of snoRNA which contain the C (UGAUGA) and D (CUGA) box motifs. The record is from Rfam. NCBI's taxonomy places the organism in Eukaryota, Viridiplantae, Streptophyta, Magnoliopsida, Rosales, Rosaceae.